UACGUAGGGUGCAAGCGUUAAUCGGAAUUACUGGGCGUAAAGCGUGCGUAGUCGGUUAUUUAAGUCGGGCGUGAAAGCCCCGGGCUCAACCUGGGAAUUGCGUUCGAUACUGGAUAGCUAGAGUUCGGCAGAGGGAAGCGGAAUUUCGGGUGUAGCGGUGAAAUGCGUAGAUAUCCGAAGGAACAUCAGUGGCGAAAGCGGCUUCCUGGACCAGAACUGACGAUCAGGCACGAAAGCGUGGGGAGCAAACAGG
RNAcentral lists this ribosomal RNA (253 nucleotides) under uncultured bacterium. RNAcentral describes it as "partial 16S ribosomal RNA". It matches the Rfam family "Bacterial small subunit ribosomal RNA", at positions 524 to 776 of the family's 1533-position model. The record is from RNAcentral.